RNAcentral lists this long non-coding RNA (1520 nucleotides) under Sus scrofa (pig). Its description in RNAcentral is "lncRNA (ENSSSCG00050036987.1, ENSSSCG00055023407.1, ENSSSCG00065069284.1)". Lineage: Eukaryota; Metazoa; Chordata; Mammalia; Artiodactyla; Suidae. The record is from RNAcentral.
GCUGCCUCGUGCCAGUGAGAUGAGAAAACUGAGGCUCAGACGGUUGGUGAUGCGCCGCUCGAGGGCCCAGAGAGGUGAAGCCAUCAGAGUCACCGCAGCGAGCCGUGCUCAGCCCGGAUGGAAUCGUGUCUUCAGACACCAACUUGCUCCUCCUGGGCCGUGGGCUCUGGGAUCCACACGGCUGCCUGGGACCCGGAGAGAUUGGCCUUGGCGGCUUUAGGAAAAUCAUGAUUUGCUGGACAGUGGCACUGCUUUAGAGUCCCGACCUCAGAUAAAGGCUGAUCAUGUCCACACAAGAGAUGCAACAAGGUGGCCCGCUGACCUUUGUUCAAGGACAUGGCCACUUGAGCGCACACGGGUUGGUGGAGAAUGCCACGCUUUGCCAAAGAAUGUUCCGUCUUCCUUUCUCUUAUCUUAUCGCGUGUGCAUUUGGGAAGGAGGUUGUGUCCAGCCAGGGCUGCAACUGGCCUGGACUGUGUCACCCUGACCCAGACCUUGUCCUGGCACGUGUUCGCACCUGGCCCCCAGAUUGCCUCUGGGGCCUAGGAGGAGAAGGUGGGGGCUGGGGUGGCUCCAGAGGAAGGUUGCAUGCGGGCUCUGGGGUUGGGGCAGUGUGGGGUUUGGUUGCUGGGCUGGCCCAGGUUCUAAGUGAGAACAGGACUUUUCAUCCCCCACGGGCACCUGAAUUUGUCCCUCCCUCCAGCCUUGGUGGCGGCAGGUGGCACGAGGCAGAUGCGGGCCUGUGACAUGCAGCUCUGCUCUCCGCCCACCUCCUGUGAACCACGCAGGUGCCUUUGUCCUGGUUAGAAAACGGUGGCGCUGGUUAGAAAACGGUGGCAGAGCUGCUGGUAAGUCUCUGGGACAUGACAGCCCCUUGCUGGGAGAAGAGUCAGCUCCUCAUAUUCUGAUAAACGGCAGGUGUUAGUAACCAUACUUCUAAACGUGUGGAAAGAAUUCCGGCGGCUCACACUGAGUGCUCGGUGUAAGCCAGUGACCAUGAUUUGUCCUUCCUGGCCUGGGUUCAUCUCAGUGACUUGUGAUGAGUUUCAUCAUCGGUCCCAUUUUACAGGAGCAAAAACCGAGUCUUAACCAUGGUAAGUGACUUGCUCUGAGUGGCACAGUGACUAAGGGACAGCCCUGGAGUCUGAGGCUCAACCUCUGUGCUAUCACCUGCCAAAUCCUGAUCCCUCUGCCCACUCCAGGCCUGGGGUUUAGGCUCUAUAGACAUUGCUCCAGUUUAUCUCAUAGUGACCUUUGGGGCUUAUAUGAUGAUGGCUUAUAGGUGGGGACACUGGGGCUCAGAGAGGCUCAGUGACUUGGCCACGGUCACACAGCUAGUAGGUGGUGGACCAGGCAUGGGAACCCCAGGUGUCUGACUGAGGUUCCUUGCUUUUUACCUCUUGGCUGCAGCUCCAUGCUGGUGGGGCCUCUGGGGAAGGAAUAUUCUUGCAAUGAAGGGAGCACUUCAGCUGAGGUCACAGGACAGGGGUGCUGCACAAGCCAUGAACCCACCAGCCACC